RNAcentral lists this ribosomal RNA (381 nucleotides) under uncultured bacterium. Its description in RNAcentral is "bacterial SSU rRNA". It matches the Rfam family "Bacterial small subunit ribosomal RNA", at positions 30 to 403 of the family's 1533-position model. The record is from RNAcentral.
AUUGAACGCUGGCGGCAGGCCUAACACAUGCAAGUCGAACGGUAACAGGAAGCAGCUUGCUGCUUCGCUGACGAGUGGCGGACGGGUGAGUAAUGUCUGGGAAGCUGCCUGAUGGAGGGGAUAACUACUGGAAACGGUAGCUAAUACCGCAUAAUGUCGCAAGACCAAAAGAGGGGGACCCUUCGGGGCCUCUUGCCAUCGGAUGUGCCCAGAUGGGAUUAGCUUGUUGGUGGGGUAACGGCUCACCAAGGCGACGAUCCCUAGCUGGUCUGAGAGGAUGACCAGCCACACUGGAACUGAGACACGGUCCAGACUCCUACGGGAGGCAGCAGUGGGGAAUAUUGCACAAUGGGCGCAAGCCUGAUGCAGCCAUGCCGCGUG